RNAcentral lists this small nuclear RNA (59 nucleotides) under Sus scrofa (pig). The record is from RNAcentral. Lineage: Eukaryota; Metazoa; Chordata; Mammalia; Artiodactyla; Suidae.
UUGCUUCAGCAGCACAUAUGCUAAAACUGGAACAAUACAGAGAAGAUUAGCAUGGCCCC